UGGGAGCUUGCUCCCUGAUGUUAGCGGCGGACGGGUGAGUAACACGUGGGUAACCUGCCUGUAAGACUGGGAUAACUCCGGGAAACCGGGGCUAAUACCGGAUGCUUGUUUGAACCGCAUGGUUCAAACAUAAAAGGUGGCUUCGGCUACCACUUACAGAUGGACCCGCGGCGCAUUAGCUAGUUGGUGAGGUAAUGGCUCACCAAGGCAACGAUGCGUAGCCGACCUGAGAGGGUGAUCGGCCACACUGGGACUGAGACACGGCCCAGACUCCUACGGGAGGCAGCAGUAGGGAAUCUUCCGCAAUGGACGAAAGUCUGACGGAGCAACGCCGCGUGAGUGAUGAAGGUUUUCGGAUCGUAAAGCUCUGUUGUUAGGGAAGAACAAGUACCGUUCGAAUAGGGCGGUACCUUGACGGUACCUAACCAGAAAGCCACGGCUAACUACGUGCCAGCAGCCGCGGUAAUACGUAGGUGGCAAGCGUUGUCCGGAAUUAUUGGGCGUAAAGGGCUCGCAGGCGGUUUCUUAAGUCUGAUGUGAAAGCCCCCGGCUCAACCGGGGAGGGUCAUUGGAAACUGGGGAACUUGAGUGCAGAAGAGGAGAGUGGAAUUCCACGUGUAGCGGUGAAAUGCGUAGAGAUGUGGAGGAACACCAGUGGCGAAGGCGACUCUCUGGUCUGUAACUGACGCUGAGGAGCGAAAGCGUGGGGAGCGAACAGGAUUAGAUACCCUGGUAGUCCACGCCGUAAACGAUGAGUGCUAAUGGUUAGGGGGGUUUCCGCCCCUUAGUGCUGCAGCUAA
RNAcentral lists this ribosomal RNA (800 nucleotides) under Bacillus subtilis. Its description in RNAcentral is "bacterial SSU rRNA". It matches the Rfam family "Bacterial small subunit ribosomal RNA", at positions 73 to 855 of the family's 1533-position model. The record is from RNAcentral. Lineage: Bacteria; Bacillati; Bacillota; Bacilli; Caryophanales; Bacillaceae.